AUGGCCGCCAAGGACCCAUCGUAUCUCGAGACCACUACUCUCCUUAGUCAAGAGAUCCAGCAAAAGGAGCUUCGCUUCAAAUUGUACUUGUUCCAGCACACUCAAGGCGAGCCAAAUCGGAACGAGCGCGCUGUAUCGUCUUUGCAUGCCCCCCAUGAGUUUGGGUCCAUCGUCGUUCAUGACUGGACCAUACGGGAUGGUCCUAACCUCCAAGAUAAAAUUGUUGCGCGCGCCCAAGGACUGCAUCUCGGGGCCGGUAUGAACGAAACAAACUGGUUUACCAGUUUCAACAUAAUUUUCACCGAUGAGAGGUUCAAGGGAUCCACUCUUCAGGUGCUCGGAACUACGAGCAUAAGAGAUGGUGAAUGGGCCAUCACUGGUGGCACCGGAGAGUUUGCCUUUGCGCAGGGUGUUGCCACUCACAUAAAAAGCAAGGAACGUGGUGGUGCUGGCCGUGACUGGGAGCUCCGAAUCCGCGCUACGUGCCUCACCUUCCCCAAACCGGUCCUUGUAACCAAGAUUGGACCAUGGGGUGGGCAUGGAGGAAAAGAAUUUGAUAUCCGAGAGUCAGUACCUCAACAUCUAGAAAGUGUGACAAUUAGAAGUGGUGUUGCAAUUGACUCAAUUGUGUUCUCCUACAUUGAUCAAGCUGGAAAGAAGCAAACUCUUGGUCCAUGGGGUGGCGAUGGUGAACUUACUGACACGAUCACUUUUGCCCCUUUAGAGAUUGUGAAGGAAGUUUCAGGAACAAGCGGUACUUUUGGUGGAGAUACUGUUGUGACAUCGCUUACUUUUGUCACAAAUGUGAGGACAUAUGGACCUUUUGGAAAACCAAAUGGUACUGCUUUCAGUGUCCCUCUUACGGAUACUAACAUUGUGGGCUUCUUCGUGCGUGCUGGAAGACUUGUUAAUGCGAUAGGAGUUUAUGCGUGUCCUUCUGUUCAAAAUUAUUAG
This 954-nucleotide ribosomal RNA is filed under the name Triticum aestivum (bread wheat). RNAcentral describes it as "partial small subunit ribosomal RNA". The record is from RNAcentral. Lineage: Eukaryota; Viridiplantae; Streptophyta; Magnoliopsida; Poales; Poaceae.